UCGAUUCUGAGAGUGAGGAGGAGGAGGAAAGACAAUCCAGGAAAAACCGUCCUAAACCACCUGCGGUGUCCACCAUCAGAAAUCACCAAGCAGCGUCAUUCACAACUUAAACACAGCUACCUUCACCACCCGCUUGAGUCUGGAGCAAUCAGAAAGAAACUGGUGCAUCACCUGGCAGUCAUUGGAGGAAAGGAGCUGAGAGCUCAUCACAACCCACCGUGCAGAACAGUACAGCUUCCGUGGACAGAAGAGCUGAACAGCACUUGGUGGCCGUGAUAUUUAGGGCUGUACGAAAGAUUCAAGGGUCAGAUACUCUGAUACUGAGAUCCAGGCUGUGGUGGGAGAUCGGCUGAAACAUGCCAAAUGUCGUAAAGACAAGUCGGCCCAUGCAGAACAUGAAAAGGAAAAGACUAUGCAGCAUUGCUUGUUAGAACAUUUUAUCUAUACACAACAGUCUUCUACUCAGU
Molecule: long non-coding RNA, 467 nt
Organism: Archocentrus centrarchus (flier cichlid)
Lineage: Eukaryota; Metazoa; Chordata; Actinopteri; Cichliformes; Cichlidae
Exons: 3
Source: RefSeq, a predicted model, not a curated record